ACACAAUAAGUAAUCCACCUGGGGAGUACGACCGCAAGGUUGAAACUCAAAGGAAUUGACGGGGGCCCGCACAAGCAGUGGAGUAUGUGGUUUAAUUNGAAGCAACGCGAAGAACCUUACCAGGUCUUGACAUCCAACUAACGAAGCAGAGAUGCAUCAGGUGCCCUUCGGGGAAAGUUGAGACAGGUGGUGCAUGGUUGUCGUCAGCUCGUGUCGUGAGAUGUUGGGUUAAGUCCCGCAACGAGCGCAACCCUUAUCAUUAGUUGCCAACAGGUCAUGCUGGGGACUCUAAAGGAACUGCCUACGCAAGUAGUGAGGAAGGCGGGGAUGACGUCAAAUCAGCGCGGCCCUUACGUCCAGGGCUACACACGUGCUACAAUGGCCGAUACAGAGGGCAGNUACCUGGUGACAGGAUGCAAAUCUCGAAAGUCGGUNUCA
Molecule: ribosomal RNA, 438 nt
Filed under: uncultured bacterium
Lineage: Bacteria
Description: bacterial SSU rRNA
Rfam family: Bacterial small subunit ribosomal RNA
Source: RNAcentral